UUGUCUUAUCUCCUCUACCCUUCUGCUUUUACAUCUCUCUCUCUUCAUUCCUAGCUGCCACUCUUUGCCUCUCUUCAAGGCCACACAAAUGAUAUUAUAAGGGAGCUCAUCAAAGCUUAACUAUGCUAUAUAUAUAUAUGUAGUUCUACAAUAUAGUGGGGAAAACAAGAGCUACACACUGCUUUCUCUCUGAAAUUCUGCUGUUACCAUCUGCAAAUUUUGUUAUUCUCUCUGCUUUUCAGCUGGUUUGGGAAGCUCAAAACUUAAGGGACCACACCAAGUCUGGUAGUAGUACUCGUCUACUGUUGAUAUGCCUAGCUAUGCUUGCCUGGCUCCCUGAAUGCCAUCUAAGAAGCUUGUCAAAGAGUGUUGGCAACCUUCCUACUUGGCAUGAGGGGAGUCACGCAGGCCCAAAUGUGAUGAUUAUUGAUAGUACUUAUAUGUAAAUGCCUCUUGCAAUCCUUUGUAAGCAUCAUCCUCUAUAUAUGUACUUUUUGUCUUUAAUUCA
Quercus robur (English oak) is the source of this 508-nucleotide long non-coding RNA. RefSeq lists it as uncharacterized. NCBI's taxonomy places the organism in Eukaryota, Viridiplantae, Streptophyta, Magnoliopsida, Fagales, Fagaceae. The record is from RefSeq and is a predicted model, not a curated record. The transcript has 2 exons.